RNAcentral lists this ribosomal RNA (253 nucleotides) under uncultured bacterium. Its description in RNAcentral is "partial 16S ribosomal RNA". It matches the Rfam family "Bacterial small subunit ribosomal RNA", at positions 524 to 776 of the family's 1533-position model. The record is from RNAcentral.
UACGUAGGGUGCAAGCGUUGUCCGGAAUUAUUGGGCGUAAAGAGCUCGUAGGCGGUUUGUCGCGUCUGCUGUGAAAACUCGGGGCUUAACCCCGGGCCUGCAGUGGGUACUGGCAGACUAGAGUGCGGUAGGGGAGACUGGAAUUCCUGGUGUAGCGGUGGAAUGCGCAGAUAUCAGGAGGAACACCGGCGGCGAAGGCGGCUACCUGGACAAUUGCUGACGCUCAGGCACGAAAGCGUGGGGAGCAAAAGGG